Molecule: long non-coding RNA, 1236 nt
Filed under: Heterocephalus glaber (naked mole-rat)
Lineage: Eukaryota; Metazoa; Chordata; Mammalia; Rodentia; Bathyergidae
Description: lncRNA (ENSHGLG00100037441.1)
Source: RNAcentral
GAAAGACUCCCCAGUAGACUGGUAAUUGCUCUAGAUCGUUCUCCCCAUUUUGUUUCUCAUGCUUUCCUAUUUUAAAAUGUAAUUUCUAUAUUCCUGCUUUGCUAGGAGGUUGGAGAUGGGAGGGAGAUAAUAUAUUGAUCUGUUGAGAGAAGUUUUGUAUUUCGACCAGUGAUCCUGAACUUUGAGCUAGAUAAACUAACUGAAUCAGAGUUUGGAUUAUCUCUCCUGGAAAGGGAACAAGUAUGUUCUAUUUGUGGAAAGAAAUUUGCAUCUAAAUAGUUGGGUAGCUGAGCAAAUAUUGUACCAGAGACUGCUAUCUGUCUACCAAAUUCCAUUCUGUCCUUCCUUUAUGGCAAAUACAGAUUAAGGUCUCCUGUGAGGUUUGUUUCCUGGAGGAGUCCAGAAAGAAGCUGUUCUCUGCUGAACCAUGGGUCAAGGAAAAUGUUGACAGAACUAUCAACUCUCAAUUUCCUAAACUUGGCAGGGUUCAAACUUCCAAGACAAAGCUGAUAGUGUCAAGGUUGUAUUAGUAACAGCCUUUCAAAUGGAGAAAACAUAUACACAGGAGGAGAAGGCCGAAGACAGCUGAAAGCCUAAAUGUUUGUUGCAAGCAGUCUAAGGAAUUGAUUGAUUUCAACCAAUGGACUCAUGAACUCACUGACAUCUGGAAGUUAGAAUCAAGACCCAGAGUGGCUAUCAGCCUUCUGUUCACCACUUCUUGAUAAAGCAGUACUCUGAUGGUGGAUUAUCUAUCUCGGGCCUUAGAAGACUAUUCUGAGAAUACCAUCACUGCAGAAUACCAUCACCACAGCUUCAGGUGGGUCCACCUUCAUUAUUACUCUAGCUCUGCUAUUCAUGAUAAUAACUACAUCAAACUUGCAUCUGGCUUCUGCCAUUCUGGAAUCUCAUUAUCCCCAUUGUCAGUAUGGAGGUGUGGCAGCAUCUUUUACCAUCAACCCCAGUCUAUAGAGCACACCUACUAUUACUCCUCUCAAAGAUAGCUAAGACUCAACUGUGGCUUUAAGAGCAAAGAUUGAAUUUCUCUGAUGUAGGAGGAAUUCUUCUCAAGACUGCAACAUGGAAAUCCUGAGUUUCCAGCCCUCUACCCUGUGGAAUUCAGUUAGAAGAAAACAAUUCAAACAAGACUACAUCAAUUGUUACCUGAAUUUCUAGCCUCAUCAGUCCCCACAAAUGAAGGAACCAAUUGCUUAAAAUUUUUGAAAUCUCCUUCCCUCC